CUGGGGCUGCGUUUUCUCACCUGCUGGUGUUCCGAAGGGCUCAGGAUGUUGGAUGCACAUGCGAAGGAUGUCAAGGACAGCGGCUGAGUGCUGGUAAAACAAACAUCACAUGCUCCAUGGGGCUCCUACAAGGUUUGCAAUCAAGCGCUCUCUAAUAACCGCUUAAAUACUCUCAUCAAGCUUGUCCUUGCUGUUUGUUUUAGGACACAGUGUUUUUCUCUCCCCUCUGUAUUCCUUCUCCGCGAGCGAUAGUCGGAGCUAGAGGUCACACAAAGCACAUGCAGGUAUUGGGUUUUUCUCUUUCCCUGGGUUUGCUCUUAUCGAGGAGUUUGCCUUUCUCCACCAGUGGAGGGGAUGUGGCUCUGAAAGCAUCGCUUUGUUUUUGAGGUUGGCUAAUCCUCCCUGAAUGUGGCUCCUUGUUCACUCCUGGCAGGUUUUCAAAAGCGAAUGGAACAAAUGAAAGGUGACAAGAGAAAUAAGAGCUCGUAUUAGCAGAAAGAAGGGCAUCCACACAAAACCAUGUUCCGCUUUUGCCCGGCCUUUGAGGUCAGCAGGAACCAUAGCAGUUGCUUGUGAGAGGCUGGGGAGUGGAGCAGAGAAGCCCAAGUGACCACCUACCCCUGCCCCAUCCCAGGGCAGCAGCUUCCCUGCUGCCCUUCCCAGGUCUCACUCUCUUCCUGGGGAAGCUGAGGGUUGAUGCUGCUGCCUGUUGGUUUCUUACUUCACUUAAAGCUGCCUUCUGAUUGCUGUGGAGCUACGGCCCGUGGCUUUAAAACAACUGCUGUAACGUGUGUCAGGCAUUAUAUAGGUACAGCUAUAGGGGAGCUGUGUAGAAUCGUGGAUGUGUAAUGUAGAAUCAUGGAACGGUUCAGGUUGGAAGGCACCUUAAAGCCCAUCCCUGCUAUUGGCAGGGACACCUCUGACUGGAUCAAGGGGUUCAAAGCUCCAUCCAACCUGGCCUUGAACACCUCCAGGGAAGGGGCAGCCACCACUUCAAAACCAUUCCUCCUUCUCCUGUCCCUGCAUUCCCUGAUCAAAGCCCCUCCCCACCUUUCCUGUAGCCCCUUUCAGUACUGGAAGCUGCUCUAUGGUCUCCUUGGAGGCUUCUCUUCUCCAGGCUGAACAACCCCAACUCUCUCAGCCUCUCCUCGUACGGGAGGUUCUCCAGCCCUCGGAUCAUCCCUGUGGCCUCCUCUGGACUCACUCCAGCAGAGAUCCAUGUCCUACCUGUGCUGAGGACUUUAGAACUGGAUGCAGGGCUCCAAGUGGGAUCUCACCAGCAUGGAACAGAGGGGUAGAGUCCCCUCCCUCACCCUGCUGGUCCCACUGGUUUGGAUGCAGCCCAGGACAUGGUUGGCUUUCCGGGCUGCAAGCGCACAUUGACAGGCUUUGCAGGAACCCAUGCCUUGUCCCGAAUCAUGAUGUGUUUGGUGGGGAUGGCAAAAGAAAGCAGCCUGUCCGAGCUGGAGAUGUGGUCAGCGUGGGUGCAUGCCCAGGGCUGUGCCUCUUGCAAUCCUGCUGGAGCCCAGGGGUUACUCCCCACUGCAGAGCCAGACGUGCCG
Long non-coding RNA from Cuculus canorus (common cuckoo), 1562 nucleotides. RefSeq lists it as uncharacterized. The record is from RefSeq and is a predicted model, not a curated record. Lineage: Eukaryota; Metazoa; Chordata; Aves; Cuculiformes; Cuculidae. The transcript is spliced from 3 exons.